RNAcentral lists this unclassified non-coding RNA (523 nucleotides) under Skrjabinema kamosika. Its description in RNAcentral is "ITS2". The record is from RNAcentral. Lineage: Eukaryota; Metazoa; Nematoda; Chromadorea; Rhabditida; Oxyuridae.
AAAUCUAAAACAUACUCUUACGCACAAAUAUAUAUAUGAAAAAUUUGUGCGUAAAAGUGAAGUCGAUAGGCUAUUGUGUAUGAAAAUGUAAAAGAAAAGAAAAAAAACAAACAAAUACACAUUAUACCCUAUUUAGUUAUGAAAAUAGUAUCACGCAAGCAGAUACUUUGGUCGCACAAUGAUCGACUAUAUGAUCUUCUUGGCAUAGCAAGUUGACAAAUAAUGUACAUAUGCAGACACGCAUAAUGCAGAAAUUUACACGCUAGUAUUUGCCUUUGCUAGAACAAUAGCUUGAGUACGAAUCUCUAGCACACAGAGCAAUUUAUGUGUAUGCAAGCAAGAGAUUUAUCUGCUAGCGUACUUUCUAUAAUCAAAAAGCUAUUGUUGAUUCAUAACAAUAGGCAACAGUAAAGUCUGCUAAUUUUGUCCAAUUGUGUACAUUAAGAAAAUGCUUAGAAGACAAAAAAAAAAAAAAAAAAAACAUACGCAUACACUCAUACGCGUAUGCUUUAAACAUUGAAAC